AUAUUAUAUCAUUAUUUCUCGAGACAAAUGCCCUAUAAAAAGGUAGUUGACCUUACUUUUAUUAAGCGGAAAAGACUCUUUAUUUGAAUCAAAUUAUGUGAGUACGUUACGCUACAAGACGCCGGUAACUUUUAUGAUCAAAUUCAAAUGAUAAUGGGUGAAAUUCCCAUUAUUUUAAUUCUUAGGUUAGGGAGAUGGCAUAAUUGUUGGUCAUAGUCCUCAGGAUCAAAUAGGUCUACUUCUGUUAAAGCUGGAAAUAGAUGUGACAAUGAUGGGUGACUAGUUUGUUAUGUAAAUAUCAUAAUAUUGGUAGUAAUCAUUUAAAGUAGUCCAAUAAUUACUAUUACAUGGUAAUAUUUCCCAGAUUAGUAGGUCCGUGAGAGUGAGCAAACCAUAUGGACCACCUUGUCCAUCUAAAAGAUGAGUGAUGCGCCUCUUCCAAGUAUGUGCUUUGAGUUUGCUUUAUUCUGUCAACUGGCUGUCUUUGCUUCUGCAAUUUUUUGUCAAUAAUUAACUGCAUAUCAAUAAGUCGAUUAUUGAUUUAUCACUGAUCGUGCACCAGUUGAAAAUUUGGCCGCAGCUCAGACGUGUACAGAUAAUCUAAUUACUCAUUGAAAACAUAAUUGUGGAACAUUGAACGUAACGCUAUGCAAGCGAUUCUGCAAAUAAUUAAAUAAGAUUAGAAUGUCCCUACUAAUUGCAUAUUGCUUAAAUUAGUUAAAAAAAGAAACUAAGUUGUAAAGUUAUUUAGGGAAAUAAAAAUUUGACUUUUUAUUGAGGCAUUUCAAUUAAAUGAAAAAUAUAAAAGUUUCACCACCUUUUUAUUUUAAAGAAUGGGCAACCUUCUUACAAAAAGGACAAUUUAAAAAGGAAUGGGCCAGCUGUUUGGGUAUUUGAACUGCUGGCUCGUUUUGGGCCACUUUGGCCAUUGGCCAGCCCUUGACUUAAAAAAGAAUGGGUCAGUUAUGUUAUUAACUAAAACAAAUGGAUCAACUGCUGGAUUUUAUUGGUGUUGGGCUGCUAGAGUUUAUUUAGCGUGAAAAAUAAUUUCUUGAACCAAAACCUAAAACCCGUACUGCUAAAAAUCCAAAAUCUUAUCUUUCUAAACUUAAACAUUUGUUUUUACUAGACAAAUUAAGACAAAAAAAAGAAUACUUUUUUAGUUUACCAUAUAAAUAUUCAGAAAACACAUGUAAAAACUUAAUUUGAUAACUUGCUAUCCAACAGGAAUUCCUUAAAAUAUAUAUAGAAGAGCAUUCUUUCUAAACACGUUUAAUUUUACUACCAAAUUCACUUUAACAUGAAUAUAACUCAACAAUGAUACAUAACUUUUCAAGUUAAAACAUGUUUUUAAAUUUUUUUUAAAAGAUAUUAAAACUGCGAAGGAACUUCUAGACAUCCAUUCUUAUAUUUGAACUAAAGAACGAAUUAAUAAACCAAAAAAAUGCGUUAUUUACUUAAACACUUUAACAUGUAUUGGUACUUAUUUGCACAAACGCUACCAGCACAAAUGAAAAUGUAGGGGAACAAAGUUCAUGUCAAACAUAAAGAAAAAGUCACUAAAAGAAAACUAGAGCAAACUAGGAAAAAUUCAUAAUUACAAAAAAAGAAACUUGGACCAAAGAAUUUCAACACAACUGCUCUUAAGCUUAAAAUCUACUAUACACACAUCUUCGAUUUAAAAACUCAACAUUUAUCUAAGCAUCGACUAUCAGAGGAUUUCAAACGUGGAUUACAUUUACUUGCUCCUGAACUAAAUUAUGCCAUAAAUCUGUUACUAUACUUUCAAUCGUGCACAAACUUUUAUGUUUAGGAGAGCUACAGCUUAAAAGAGAAACAAAGCAAUUAAGAACAAAAUUAUAGAGUUGGAAAAGAUCAAACUAUAGAGCUGAAGCUUUAUUCAUCCAUUUAUGAGCAAAAGAUUAAACUCAAAUGUAAAGAAGAUAGUUACAACACAUACAACGUCACCAUAACUUUAUGCAAUUAAGAACUAAACUAUAGAGCUGGAAAAAUACCUAUUUUGCAAAAAUAGAAGAAAAAAAUAGCAGAGAAGGGAACCAACAAGCCAAACUCCAGCCAAAUGAAAUAGCAACAGCAGCACGACCAGCAACAAAAUCAACGCCAAAAGUGAACUCAGUUAAUCUAGAGAAUCAGCCAUGUGUUUUAGACUAAAAACAAACAACGGAAACCAAGACUCUUAAAGUUUUUCUUGCCUAAAACCUAUUGUAAGUGCUGGAAAACUUAGUAAAAUGCUCUCUGAUUCCCCCCCCUCCCCCCCGUUUGUGUGUAAAUAUGUUCAGCCUUUUUAUAAGAGAAGAGGCAAUGCAUUCAUGACUAAAAAUCUGUUCAUACAAUAUAUUUCUCACCAAAAAUUUGCUCUUACUAUUCAAAGGACAGACUUUUGGUUAAAAAAUCUACCUAAAGAUAAUCUCUUUACCAACUGUGAAUAGUAUUAGGAGCUGUAUACUCCCAACAACCUUUAAACGGUAAAAAGCAGCAAAACAAGUACCCCACUCUCAUGAUCAAACAUAUCUACUCUUCAACUUUUUAAUAAUCAAUACCAGACCUAGUUUGUAUCAAACCAAAACUAAAGCCAAGAAACUAUAAGCAAGACACAUGUUAACAGAGAAAACAACUUGGUGAAAAAGUUUGACUAUGUGAAUACGCCUUCCACAAGCAAAGGAGGAUGAACUACAUGUCCAACAUGUUUGAUCAGCUGGAAGAUGCCAAAGGAUGGGUAGAACUUUUUGAAAAACUGAAAACUAGGUAGAAAACAAACCUAAUUCGGCCACUAACAAAACUUACACUACUACAAUAACUACAAUAAAGUAGUAGGCAACAGAAAUCAGAAACCUAAGGAAAGGAUUAAGGUUCUAGUUAGAGUCCAAAAUCUUUGAAACUUCAGCUAAUUAGCACAACGAAUUAAACGUGAAAUAACAGAAACUGCAAUUGAAGCUAAAAUUUUCAAACUUGAAUCUACAACUAACUUCAAACACCAUUAGAAGAACUUAUGAGAUAGGAAUCCGAACAACAAAAUAAUUUGAGAUCAACGAGUGAUGACUAAUCAUUACUGCCUUUAAACUAACUAACGACUUACUAAAGAUAAAUAAAACACAUGAUCAAACAAAGAAGAAAAACCAAAAAUUUUAGACCUAAGCAAACUAUAAUGAAACAGAAAGUAAAAGAAAAAGAAAGGAGACACAAGGGAUUAGGGUGUACCAGAAAAUUGAGUGGUGCGGUAGUGGUGGUGAUUCGAGUAGUGGUGGGAUGCCAACUUGACAACAAUGUAAAGUUCGAGCGUGAUUUCCUAAUUGGUGAAUUGUGACUGUGAAUUUUAGUAUGCCAGAGGUCAUUCACGAUAUCAACAAUGAGAAACUUGUGCUUCAACUCACGAGAUAGGUCGAGGCAGAGGUGUUGUGGUAAUUUUAGGUGGGUCGUGGCAGUGGAGUAGUGGUCGCCAGAAUCCGGCCAGACUUCUGUCGGAGUUUUUGGGUGAAACCAACAUAGGAUGAUAGAUCAUGUGGAGCUCUACGUGCAUGUGUAAGUAUUUUAUAAAGGAGAGGCCGAAAACUCGACGAAUUUACAAAAUAAAUUGGACUAAGGUUUCAGAUUUUCGUUUAUUCAUGGAUUUUGGGAGGGAUUCAAGGGAUUUGGUUCGUGGAUUAACGAAGAUAAAGAGGAUAGGAAGAGAUUGGCAUUGGUUGGAGGGUGUUUGGAGCACCACUGGCGGUGACGCUCCACGGUGGCGGUAGAGGAGGGCAAUGACGGCUUGAGAAAAAAGAGGGGUCUCUAGGGUUUGGUUUCUUAGAGAACAGGCAAAAAACAGAUUUUAAAAGGAUUUUAUACCUCAAAGGGGAACAAAGGAGGGCCAUU
This 3873-nucleotide long non-coding RNA is filed under the name Nicotiana benthamiana. RNAcentral describes it as "long non-coding RNA (NBEN_LNC042373)". Lineage: Eukaryota; Viridiplantae; Streptophyta; Magnoliopsida; Solanales; Solanaceae. The record is from RNAcentral.